Acinonyx jubatus (cheetah) is the source of this 15091-nucleotide RNA transcript. It is a transcript of the gene named insulin receptor substrate 2, with no coding region annotated. Lineage: Eukaryota; Metazoa; Chordata; Mammalia; Carnivora; Felidae. The transcript has 2 exons. The record is from RefSeq and is a predicted model, not a curated record.
GCUCUUAGUUCAGUCACUCGGUGCGCGAUGUGUUACUCGCUGUGCGGCGGGGACCGCGACGAUCCCGGGUCGCCGUUGGCAGCGGCGGCGGCGGCGGCAGCAGCAGCAGCAGCAGCAGCCCGGGUGGCGGCGCGGACCCCGAGUGCCCGGGCGCACCCCGGCACCCCGGAGCGCGGCGCGGCGGCGGGACCGGUGCGGCCGCGCGCGCCUUAAGCUCGGCCCCGCGGCUCGGGGACCCCGACUCCCGGCCCAGCCAGCGAGUCCCCAGGCGCCGCCCGAGAGCCCGGGAGGCAAGCGGCCGCGGGGAGCCGGGCCAGGGGGCGGCCACCGCCCGCGCCGGGCAUCCUCUGGGGCCCGGGAGCGCGGAGGGCGCUGCGCCACCGCGCGGUGCCGGCCCCCGCGGGCCUCCCCCGACCUUCCCCACCUCCUGGGCCCGAGGGACGCGGGCUCGGGCGGGCGAGCAGGGGGUAGGGUGGGGGGGCGGGGAGGGAGCCGCCCCCGCCCGCGCCCCCUCCGCUGUCCCGCGGCUCCUCCACCGCGGGCCGGGCGGCGCGGCCUGAGACGCCGGCGAUGGCGAGCCCGCCGCUGCACGGGCCCCCCGGGCCGGCGGGUGGCGACGGCCCCAACCUCAACAACAACAACAACAACAACAACCACAGCGUGCGCAAGUGCGGCUACCUGCGCAAGCAGAAGCACGGCCACAAGCGCUUCUUCGUGCUGCGCGGGCCCGGCGACGAGGCGGCGGCGGCGGGCGGGGGGCCGGCGCCGCAGCCGCCGCGGCUCGAGUACUACGAGAGCGAGAAGAAGUGGCGGAGCAAGGCGGGCGCCCCGAAGCGGGUCAUCGCGCUCGACUGCUGCCUGAACAUCAACAAGCGCGCCGACGCCAAGCACAAGUACCUGAUCGCGCUCUAUACCAAGGACGAGUACUUCGCCGUGGCGGCCGAGAACGAGCAGGAGCAGGAGGGCUGGUACCGCGCGCUCACCGACCUGGUCAGCGAGGGCCGCGCGGGCGCCGGCGACGCGCCCCCCGCCGCCGCCGCCACCGCCGCGUCCUGCAGCGCCUCCCUGCCCGGCGCCCUGGGCGGCUCGGCCGGCGCCGCCGCGGCCGAUGACAGCUACGGGCUGGUGGCGCCCGCCUCGGCCGCCUACCGCGAGGUGUGGCAGGUGAACCUGAAGCCCAAGGGCCUGGGCCAGAGCAGGAACCUGACGGGCGUGUACCGCCUGUGCCUGUCGGCGCGCACCAUCGGCUUUGUGAAACUUAACUGUGAGCAGCCGUCGGUGACGCUACAGCUCAUGAACAUUCGCCGCUGCGGCCACUCGGACAGCUUCUUCUUCAUCGAGGUGGGCCGGUCGGCCGUCACGGGCCCAGGUGAGCUGUGGAUGCAGGCCGACGACUCGGUGGUGGCGCAGAACAUCCACGAGACCAUCCUGGAGGCCAUGAAGGCGCUCAAGGAGCUCUUCGAGUUCCGGCCGCGCAGCAAGAGCCAGUCGUCGGGCUCGUCCUCCACACACCCCAUCAGCGUCCCUGGCGCGCGCCGCCACCACCACCUGGUCAACCUGCCCCCCAGCCAGACGGGCCUGGUGCGCCGCUCGCGCACCGACAGCCUGGCCGCCACCCCGCCGGCAGCCAAGUGCAGCUCGUGCCGGGUGCGCACGGCCAGCGAGGGCGACGGCGGCGCGGCGGCGGCGGGGCCCGGGGCGGCGGGCGGCAGGCCCGUGUCGGUGGCCGGGAGUCCCCUGAGCCCCGGGCCGGUGCGAACGCCCCUGAGCCGCUCACACACCCUAAGCGGCGGCGGCGGCGGCUGCGGCGGCCGCGCGGGCAAGGUGGCGCUGGCGCCGGCAGGGGGCGCCCUGCAACACAGCCGCUCCAUGUCCAUGCCCGUGGCGCACUCGCCCCCAGCAGCCACCAGCCCUAGCAGUCUGUCGUCCAGCAGCGGGCACGGCUCCGGCUCCUACCCGCCGCCUCCGGGCCCACACCCGCACCUGCAGCACCCCCUGCACCAGCCCGCGAGCCAGCGGCCCUCCAGCGGCAGCGCCUCGGCCUCGGGGUCCCCCAGCGACCCCGGCUUCAUGUCUCUGGACGAGUACGGCUCCAGCCCUGGGGACCUGAGAGCCUUCUGCAGCCACCGGAGCAACACGCCGGAGUCCAUUGCCGAGACGCCCCCGGCCCGGGACGGCAGCGGGGGCGAGCUGUACGGGUACAUGACCAUGGACCGGCCCCUGAGCCACUGUGGCCGCCCCUACCGCAGAGUCUCCGGGGACGGGGCCCAGGACGUGGACAGAGGCCUGAGGAAGCGGACGUACUCCCUGACCACACCUGCCCGGCAGCGGCCCGUGCCCCAGCCCUCCUCUGCGUCCCUGGACGAAUACACCCUGAUGCGGGUCUCCUUCUCUGGCAGCUCCGGCCGCCUCUGCCCGUCCUGCCCCGCCUCGUCUCCCAAAGCGGCCUACCACCCCUACCCCGAGGACUACGGGGACGUCGAGAUCGGCUCCCACAGGAGCUCCAGCAGUAACCUGGGCACGGACGACGGCUACAUGCCCAUGACCCCUGGCGCGGCCCUCACGGGGGGUGGCAGUGGCAGCUGUAGGAGUGACGACUACAUGCCUAUGAGCCCCACCAGCGUGUCCGCCCCAAAGCAGAUCCUGCAGCCUCGGGCUGCCGCUGCGGCCUUGCCCCCCGCGGGAGCGCCGGUGUCCACGCCUGCGGCCGGCAGGGCCUUCCCGGCCAGCGGGGGCAGCUACAAGGCGAGCUCCCCGGCGGAGAGCUCCCCCGAGGACAGCGGUUACAUGCGUAUGUGGUGUGGCUCCAAGCUGUCCAUGGAGAACGCAGACAGCAAGCUGCUGCCCAACGGGGACUACCUCAACAUGUCCCCCAGCGACGCGGGCGCCUCGGGGACCCCUCCCGACUUCUUCUCGGCCGCCUUGCAUGGCAGCGGGGAGACGCUCAGGGGAGUGCCCGGCUAUUGCCACAGCUCCCUGCCCCGCUCCUACAAGGCUCCCUACACCUGCAACGGGGACAACAACGACCAGUAUGUGCUCAUGAGCUCUCCGGUGGGGCGCAUCCUGGAAGAGGAGAGGCUGGAGCCGCCGGCCAGCCCGGGGACCGCGACAUCCAGCGGCUGCGGCGGUGGCGACCACGCCCAGCCUCCUCACCCAGCAGUGCCUUCGCCUGGCAGGCCAGGUGGCAGCGUUGGCGGCCGCCCAGAGGGCUUCCUGAACCAGCGCUGCCGGGCUGUGCGGCCCACGCGCCUGUCCCUGGAGGGGCUUCAGACCCUGCCCAGCAUGCACGAGUACCCGCUGCCGCCCGAGCCCAAGAGCCCUGGCGAGUACAUCAACAUUGACUUCGGCGACGCGGGAGCUCGCCUGUCACCUCCCGCGCCCCCGCUGCUGGCCUCGGCCGCCUCGUCGUCCUCGCUGCUGUCCGCCAGCAGCCCGGCCUCCUCCCUGGGCUCGGGCACCCCGGGCACUAGCGGCGACAGCCGACAGCGCUCCCCGCUGUCCGACUACAUGAACCUCGACUUCAGCUCGCCCAAGUCACCCAAGCCGGGCCCCCAGGGCGGGGACCCCGUGGGCUCGCUGGACGCCCUCCUGUCCCCCGAGGCCUCCUCCCCCUACCCGCCGCUGCCCCCGCGCCCUGUGGCGCCCGCCUCUGCCCUGCAGCCGCAGCCGCUGCCGCCGCCCCCUCCAGGCGAGCUGUACCGCCUGCCCCCCGCCCCCGCCGCCCAGGGCCCCAGCGCUGCCUCCUCGUCGUCCUCGGAGACUGGGGACAAUGGUGACUACACCGAGAUGGCCUUCGGCGUGGCUGCCACCCCGCCGCAACCCAUCGCCGCCCCCCCGAAGCCGGAAGGUGCCCGCGUGACCAGCCCCACGUCCGGCGUCAAGAGGCUGAGUCUCAGGGAUCAAGUGUCGGGAGUGGAGGCCUUCCUGCAGGCCAGCCAGCCCCCGGACCCGCACCGGGGGGCCAAGGUCAUCCGCGCAGACCCGCAGGGGGGCCGCCGCCGCCACAGCUCCGAGACCUUCUCCUCGACCACCACUGUGACCCCCGUGUCCCCGUCCUUCGCCCACAACCCGAAGCGCCACAACUCGGCCUCCGUGGAAAACGUCUCUCUCAGGAAAAGCAGCGAAGGGGCCGGCGGCGGCGGCCUGGCUGGGGGCGACGAGCGCCCCACGUCCCCCCGCCAGCUGCAGCCACCGCCCCCCCAGCAGGGGCGGCCGUGGCUACCGAGUCAGCUGGGGGGCUUGGUCGGGUGCCCCGGGGGCAGCGGCUCUCCGAUGCGCAGGGAGACCUCUGCCGGCUUCCAGAACGGCCUCAACUACAUCGCCAUCGACGUGAGGGACGAACCUGGGCUGUCGCCCGGCCCGCAGCAGCUUCCGCAUCCGCAGCCGGGAGACAAGAGCGCCUGGGGCCGGACCCGUAGCCUGGGGGGUCUCCUCAGCGCGGUGGGGGGCAGCAGCACCGGUGGGGUGUGCGGGGGGGCCGGCCCUGGCGCCCUGCCCUCUGCCAACACCUAUGCCAGCAUUGACUUCCUGUCGCAUCACCUGAAGGAGGCCACCAUUGUGAAAGGUGAGGCCCUUGGAAUCUUGCGGAGGGUCGGCGGGAGGCAGGGUGGGAUGGCCCGGGAGAGGGCCGCUCUGGCUUCACCACCAUCCGCUCCUUUGGUACCUGGACACAAGCGCCAAAAUACUGGACGAGCCGCCUUGUUUUGCUUUCCUCUUGGCUCCCCCGGCUUCCUUCUUCGCCAAACAGCCGCAGAGGCCCAGUGGUCUUUGAGUUGAAUGUGCAGCUUCGCACCCAGGAGGCUGGGAUUCAGUUGUUUGGGCCCCGCCCCCUUGUUCUUUUCCCACCGCCUCUCUCCUCCUCCUUCACAGGGCAGGGCCAGUCCCGCCCCCCCUCCCCGAUUUAGCCCCCCCCCCCCCCCCCCCAGAGUGCCCGCUGGUGGUUCUUGCCCUGGAGUCCUGACUGCUCCCUCACCUUUCUCUUUGUUUUCCUGAAACCAGGUCCCCCCUGAUUUCUGCUGAGCCUCAGAGUUUACAAAAACAAGUCUGAAAGUCAUUUGGAAAAUGAGCAUCCAUUUUGGUGGCUGCAACAGGGAACAGUUAGUUAACUGUUUCAGUUUUGCAAGUAAACUGCAGGGCUUUUCCUUAAGGGAGACUCUCUUUCUCCUGAGGGUCUGCAACGGUGACAGUGUUUAAAUACCACACCAAGGCAGUGGUUCUCAAACUUGAGCCUGCCCGGGAGUCACCUGGUCUGUGUUUGCUAGAAACCUGGAGGGCUGGGCCGUGUCAAGCCCCAGAGAUUCUGAUGCAGCAGGUCUAGGGUGUGGCUUAGAAUGUGCAUUUUUAAGAAAUUCCCAGGCUAUGCGGAUGCUGUUGGGGGGAUGCUGUAUGUGUGUGUGUGGGGGGGGGGGCAUCCUCUGAGAACUGUGUCCUGUGUUCGACUCACCUGAGGAGGUUCAAGGAAUGGGCCUCACCCAGGGCGCACUCAAGCAAAGCACCCAGUGGGCAGAGCCCAGGCACCAGUUCUCAGAGUUUGCCCAGAGGAUGUUACCGUGCAGUCGGGCUUCAGAAUCAGUGCUUUAGAGAAAACGGGCGGGAGACAACAGCACUGGUGUUUUCAAGUCCGAGAGCCUGGUGUCCCGUGGUGUUGUUCACAGUCCAUUAAAUAUCCAUGAGGAGAGAGCGGUGUGUUUGCUCUGCCGCUGGUGGUGUAGACUGGGCUGGGGGCAGAGGGGGUGAAUGUUCAAUUCACAAGUUUCUAGUUAUGGAUCUUUCUGCGGGGCGGGGAGGUUGCUGCUAGGAAGGUGGAAGCUGUGUGGGAACCCGAAAGCCGUGAGAGUGGUGUUAGGUGGAUGUUGGCCGAAGGUCAGCAGUCUGCAGCGGAUCCAGGGUGAUGGUCGAGGUGGCUUGGGAAUCCGCACACCUUUUGUCGGUAAAGUACACAGACCGGCCGAAUGCUAAGUCCGCCAUAAGGCUUGUAACAUGCCUGGGACCUGUAGUCCGUGGGAUUUAACAGCACGGCUAUGGAGUAAACAGCCUGUUCUAAUAUAAAAGGAAGAGCUCUUUACUUUUUUGUUAAAACCAUAGAAUGAAAGGUGGAAAGAGUCCUAGAGAAUUGUCAGGAAUAUGGUGCUUGAGCGUGGAAUUAAAUCAGUUGGAACUUGUCAGACUGUGCCCCGUCAACGACGACUCUCAACUAAAGGUCACUUUGUUCGCAGUUCAGUUAGGCGGUCCAGGUACUUCUGAAAAAUUGCUACUGUGCCCUGAAGUUGGAGGACGAGUAAAGUCUAGGACCCAGACCAUAGAAACACACCAGCGUGACCGGAAUUGAGUGGAAAAAAGAGACAAACACACAAAAGUUAUUGUCGUGUGCCCAAAUGGGUCUAUGCCUUAGUGAACACGAAAGCACACUUUGCUGAAAUCUGAUUCUCAUCAGAGAAGCAAAGCAGCCUGAGAACCUAACACCUAAACCUAAGCUUUGGGUGAAGUAGGCGGCCAAAACCCGGCCUGGAGUCGGAGGGCCCCGGAGCGGGCUUCUGCAGAAGCAGGAGUGAGCAGGGGGUUUGUGUCUGCAAGCCGAAAAGGGUUCAAGGCCUUUCUGAUAAAGGAGAUACAUUCAGAAACGUGAUUCAUGUAUGAUAUAAUGCCCUUUCCAGACUCGGGAUCAUUUUAAGCUGCGGGAGAUAAGUCGAGCCAGAGACCUGAUUUUAGCUGCUUCUGUGUUCCCACCAGUAUAAAAUUCCUUUCAACCUAUAGGAUUCAGGACUGAAGCCGGAACCGCAGUUCAGAUGCCCCGGAGUGGCUGAGCAAAGAUGAGAUCCGAUUUGGUUGCUGGUUUUCCAGAGUCUCUGUGAGCACUGUGGUCAACACCCUUUUAAGAAGGAAAAGGACUAUUUUUAAGCAAAAUCGAGAGCUGCAGUUGACCCAUUGUGCCAAAACCGGUCUGUGAGGAGCACCCCAUGAUAAAUGGAUUUCUAGUAAGCUCCUUUGACACAGAGAACAGGAGGCUAGGAAAGACAAGGAUGUGGGCUUAAUUCACGUGGAACCUGAACUGUGGUCUGCAGAGCCAGGAGGGAAACGUUUAGAAACUCCAGAUGAACGUCCACUGUUAUUUAACUCACGUGUGGCUGUAGAAAUUUUGUGCAUGGUGCUCAUAAAUACGAAGUUCAUGGGAGAUAAGCGUCCUUUGGGAGAAUGAUUUAUAGCAGGAGGACUUGGAAAGCAUUUCUUUGAAGAUGAAGUGGGAAAAGAGCUCCCGGGUCAUCGCAUGAGCUGGCCGGGCUCUGGGAAGUGGUGUGUGUGUCCCUGCCGAGUUCCUGGAGCUCCACACGGAGACACGUCGUUAAUUAUGCCAGAGCAGAAUAGUCUGGGGUCAUUUGCAUAGGGGUUGGCAUUUGCAUGAGUGGUAACAAAGACGUAAGGUUCCUGUAGCCAGCCUUUGGUAGUUGUUUACCAUAGAAUUGGGGAUGGGGGAUUAUAGUGCUAGAACCAAAGACACAGUUAAUGCACCCUCGGGGUGUGUGUGUGUGUGUGUGUGUGUGUGUGCAUGUGUGCAUGUUCUGCAUUAACACACGAUAAUAGCAUGUAUAAUACAAUCGUUGUGUAUUGAUCCAGAGCAAGUAAAAACUGAACUCUAAAUUCUGCGUCUCACUAAGGGAGCAAGGGAGGGUACUUACCGUGUGUUUUGUGUGUGUAUGUGCAGGAAAGUCUAACCAAUCUGUCAGAGUGUUGUUGUUUGGGACCUGGAAAUGUAAUACUGAAUCUAUGCUUUAAAACAGCAUGUAAAAAUUCAUUUUAUACAUUUUUGUGCUAUGAUGAUAGAUUGGUGUGUAUUAUGAAAGGUGCUGUCUUAGUGUUCCUCUUUAGCGGGAUUUUUAUUCUAAAAUUGGUUUUUGUGUACGAGUAAGGCAGAUUAGACAAGAAUGACCACUGAAAGCAUCUGCCGUUUAAAUUUUGUUUGAUAUAAGGACCAUAUAUUCAUGUCCUAGGGUCAGAGAAGUUGGGGGUAAGAGGAAGGUUUCCAAAGGUACAGUACAGUCCCAAUUUAUGUUUAAAAAGAUUGCCUGUUGAAGUCUUAAAACAAAGAACUUGAAUAUUUUUAGCACUCCAGUGAGAUUGCUUGACCACAUGCCCUUUAUUUUUCUGUCGGGCGUGCUUUCCCUGCUUCGGUCGGCCAGCUCUUGUCGAAAUAAGAUAAUAAGGAGCACCGCUCCUGCCCUGUUCCCGGGAACAGACAGCCAAGGUGCUUAUGAAAACACACAGGCUUUCGUGAAUGAAAGUCACGUGACUUGUUCUAUUUCCUUUAUUGAAAGAGAAACCUUUACGAAAAUAGUACUUCGUAGAAGGAAGCAUAGUAUGUGGAACAUUAAACCAGGAAUCAGGAAACCAGGUUUCUGGUUGCUGAUCUUAAUGAGUCAUUGUGUGACAGAGGGAAACCAUUUAAUCCCUGGUUCUCACUUUCUCUGUCUGUAAAAUGGGGCAAUUAUAGCCCUCUCCCUCCUGUGUCCUUGGCCCCCGGGAGGUCCAGGAGAUCAUAAAAAUCAGGAACAGUUAAAAUGCUCUUCCAAAGGAUCGUGCUGGUAAAUCCAAUGAUGUUGUUGGUACUACCUUGAAACCGUGAGUGUUUAUAGGAAACUCACUUUUGUCAAUGAGUGUUCUUAAAAAAACAACAACAAACAACAACUCCUAGUCCCCUGAAAAUGGAGCAAAUACCUUUUUAAGAAUUGCAUGCCUUUUCUGCUUGACUGCCGCUUCCACUCCAGUCUCCAAGAACCACGUUUUCGCCCUCUUUAUUUAACUUGAGAUUUUGUUCGCAGAUAAUUAUCAAUUGCAAUGGAGUGGCGUUUUAAAUUACAUCGCAGAAUAACAACUGAGGAAAAUAGCAUCCUCCUGCUGAAACUCCAUGAAGACCGUACUUUUGAUUACCUUCUUUCUGUGACUUGUUUACAUACCAAGACAUACUGUCACCAUGAAAAUUGAGAACUAGAAUGAACCUACAGUGUUUUAAUUGAUAGUGUGGGCUCUUCGUGCGGGAUGUAUCAAAAGAAAACACAGAACCCGUCAACUUGCAGCUGCUGAAUCCAGUGCUGGGCCUGGGGCUUCAGUUUUCCGGUUGAUUCGGUUAGGGUGGCCACUGCUGUGUGCUUUGGAUUCGUUUGGUCGUCAGACACCGUAGGAACACCUCCACUGUUUGAUUCGUUUACUCUUCUGCGGGCCCGUGCCUCCUGAAGAGGAAUUUUAAUAGAGAACUAACGUGCUGUUUUCUUUAGAGUUCUCUGUAUCAAGUGAAUCUGUGUCUCUUUUUCUGAAGAGGAGAACUUCAGCAGUUUUAGUCACAGCAUGGGCAAAGUGGGCUUUCUGUUAAGAAUUCCCACUAAUGCAUUUUCUGUAGAAGGGUAGCUCCAGGAGCUAGUUAACUAGGGUAUCAGAUUUGGCAAGUGGAGAGGGUUUUGUUGUUGUUGUUGUUUUGGUUUUGGGGGUAGCGCAGAAUCCAGUCGUCCUGUCUCACCUCAGAAACUUAAGGGAAAAUGCAACUUUACUCUUUCAUCUGCCGUGCCAAGUAGAGUGGGGGAAAAACUCAGAGGGAAAUAGCACGGGCCCCCGAAGCCAGCUCUUGAGCAAGUCCACGAAUAAUAGGGGAAUUCUCUGUAGAUUUUCUCUCCUGCAGACAUGAAUAGAAUGCAUAUUUCUGGACAAACUGAGCAAGGCGUUGUCACGUUGGCAUUUUAAUGAGCAAAUGAAAACAAAGUGUUCUGAACCUCUAAAGUGAUCAGUUACAAACAAGCAUGUUUAUUGAUCAGGUGGUGGGUUUCGUGAAAACAGCACCAGCCUCAUCUAAAGGGGGAGGCGCGGUGUUUGUUUUAUUCACCCGAAUGCGUCCUUCAAGAUUGCAGUGUUCUUGGUUUGGUUUGGUUUGGUUUUGUUAGUAAUUGUUGAAGGUAGAUCGGUGGAGACCGGGUUCAGUGGUGGGUUCUCUUCUGACAACCGUUGAAGGGAAAUGCUUCAGUCGGUAAUUGCUAGUGACGAUUCGAGUUGUUUCUAGAGAGCCCCAGAGACGUGUGUGUUGACUGCACUGAAACGAGAGGCUCAGAGGGAAGUUUGAGGAGAAGCAGCUGAACUGCAUGUUGUACGCUGGCAUCUCGCUCCGUGAGUGUGGAUGACACAGGACCCUUCUGUGCGCGGUGCUUUCGCUGCUUGACUGAAUUCAUCGCAUGCGCAUGCUGAGAUGGAAUUGGGCUAAAAUUUCAAGGCUGCGUGUUUACCAGAGAUAAAAUACAGUCCGGUCAGCGGUUCCGAUUUCUUGGACUAGAAAAUUAUAAAAUUGGCACGAGGUUGCUUUUACGUGCGCAGGGACAUUGUGAAACUUGACGGCGUAAAUGUGCCUUCAGAUGUGGCCCUGUUUUCUUGUGCCGCACGUGAUAUUCGUGCCCACAGACAAGAUUUAAAAAACACUCCUUCCUUACUGUGUUUUUGCUGAAAUUUGCAAUAUCUGGUCAGAUACUGUGGUACAUCAUAUACUUUCAAGAUAAAUGACCACAUGUGUAGCACUUUGUAAAUACUCGUGGGUUUCUUAGUAUUGAUUGUAAGGAGUAUCAAAUUUUCCAGAAGUAAAUAUUGGGGGGGGGGGUCCAUUUCUAAUGUAGUCAUGUUCCAAGAGGCUUGGCGUGAAUUUUUUUUUUAAUUGAGAUUCAGCUACUGAAUAGUGACGUGUACUCUAAUCGUGUUAAAACUUUAUAACCUGAAGUAUAAUUAUAAUCUUACUGCUGCUUUGAUCCAUCCAUAUGGUAGUGGUAUAAACGCUUGAGUGGAUUGUUAGAGUCUAGUAUUAAAUUUCAGUGUUUUCAAUGGCUAAAAAGGGAUUAUGGCAGAUUCCGUUAUAUUAUGUGAUUUUAAUUGUUACCUUAGGUUCCAUGUUUAGCUGACGAUGAUUUAUGCUUUUACAUGGUAUUAACGCAUAAUCUUUAAUACUUAUGAACGUGAUACCAAGCUCCCUCCAUGCAGAUUUAAAAGGAGUUACUUAAAUCAGAUCAUCUUUUGGCUCCAAACUGCGUGUAACAAUACCAAAACUGAUGGACAAUGAAUGAAUUUGAAAGAGGCAGCUGGGGUUGGAGAUGCUGAAUUGAAAAUGUAUCCGUUGUCGUGAUCAAUACCAAAAGAUUAAUGCGUGCCCCAUCCCCUUUUAGGUCAAAAGAAUUGUGUAAAAUCCAGAAAGUGUUUUUCUUUGCUUCAUAGCGUGGAGACAUUUUCUUACCUAUGUUACCACAUGGUAUUUCAUAAUCUGGUGACGUGGGCUGGGCCACUUCUUGGGAAUGCGGAAUCUGCAGCUUCGAGAGGCCGGGGGACUCACCCAAAGGUUCCCUGAGCCACAAGGUGAACUGGGGAAGGGUUCUGAUGGACCAGCAUUGUCUUGCGUUCUGCCUGGGAGCACCUGAUCCCCAGCCAGUGCUGUUUACAUGAGAUCAGGUUGUCUCCAAGUCCUACACCCCCGGCUGUGCUUUGGAAGCUCCCAGCAAUCGUUACAUUCCGGUUUUUAUGUAGACCAGCCUCAGCGCAACUUUCAAGGUAACAUUUUGUUUUUGAUUUCACUUGGGUGACAGUUACUUAAUUUCUCUCUUCUUUCCUCGGGGCAUUUAUCCAUCUGGAGUACAAUGCUGGCAGUCAGGCAGGAAGGGCAUGGAAGGAAAGCCCCCUAAUUGUUUUAAACCAGUUUUAACACCUGGCGGUGAGAAGCGCUUAGAAUUGGAUAGGACUUUGACGGCUGUCAUUGUGUCUGUGGAUUCUCGAGUUGUUGCCGGUCGUUGGCCGCUCUUCUGUUCUGGGGGUUUCCAGUCUCCCUUCCUCGUCGUCUGCACCCACAAGACUCCUGUUCCUCUAGCUGAUUUCAUUUCAGCAAAGCCAACUGUGGAUUAUGCUUGAUAAGAUCCCGCCCCGCCCUGCCCUCCAACCAAAUAUGUUAAAAGUCUUUCCACGCUGUGUGGACACAAUCAGAAGAGAAUACAAGGAUGCUUUGAGUGAGGGAGAAGGGCUGGGAACCAUGAGUAUCCUGUAACUCCCUUAAGGUUGUGAGCACAGAGGCCGAGGGAGGUCAGACGUCUUCUCCAAGGUCACCAUUUAAUUGGUUGGUAGAAAUGUGUGUAAAUAUUAUCAAGAAAGAACAGAGUAUGCUCUGUGUCUGUGGUCCUUUGUGUGCUGAUGAAUAACUUUCUCCCAAGAUACAUCCCAUUCCCUUCAGAACAACCCAGCCUCUAUGGAAGUGGUAUUCUGUCUUUUUUACUUUAGGACGUCUUAGUAAACUGCUUCAUACACAGCCUAACGGGUCCACAGGCAGACAGAGAGACAGGCUGAGGCACCUAAAUAAGGAAGUGUGGUGGAAAUUAGGGAAACACCGCGGCUCACGGCCAUGUGGGCAGUGUUUACUGGUGAGGUAGAAGGAGCGAAGGUUUGGCAAACAUUCAAGAUCAUGUGCUUGCUUGUUAAAAAAAAGAAAGCAAGAAAAGAGAAGAAGAAAAUUCUUGGGGUGAUUCAAAUGGAAAAGCCUCUAUUAUCUGGGAAAAUAGUGAGGAUCUGUCUGGCUUUAUCACCGUGACGUCACGCAUCAGAGAAUGACUUUCAAAGAAGAUGCUCACUGUUUUGUUUUUGUUUUUGUUUUUUUUUAAAAUCUGAAGCUGCUUACAAAUUUUCUUUUGGAUCUGAGCAAUGACUACAUUUUGGAACAUCUACGACUGUAUUAGACUCUGAACCCCCCAGGCGAGGACACCUGCCUCUCCCCCUGGUUCCCACAGGGGGCAUUCGUCAUUCUGCUGCUCGUGCUGUGUUUCAUUUGUUUUUUUAACAAAAUUCGCCGAAGAAGGUAUUCUCAAGAAAAUCGGAUGUUUCCAUUGGCCCUUUAAAUUGUGGCCGGUGUCUUAAUUUCUUCUCACUUUCGUUUUGGCAAAGCAGAUUUAUCCCUCAGCAUGCUGGGAGAUGCUACCAACACCCAUGGAAGUGGGGCAAUCUGGUAUUUACUGGCAUGCACUCAAAACUACCACAGUCCUACCUCAGUUCCAGGUGAAGCCGGAUUUGUGUGGCCGGGGGCCGGCAGGACCUCCUGUACAUAGAUGUCUGCUGAGUGUCUCGAGUGCGGCCUUCAGCCUUAUUUAACUGGUCCCAGGAAACAGCGGCUCCGUGGAUCCAGUCCAGGUACCUGCGUGUUUACUCAGCCAGAGCCCAGCGUGGGACUGACACUUCUCAACGGAAAUGCAAUUUGGGAUUGGACUUUGAAGAUGGAUUCAUAAAUAAUAAUAAUAAUAAUUAUAUGUAACUGAAGCAACCUACUUUUGAAAAUCAUCAACUGUAUUGGGUAGCGGGGGGGGGGUGGGGAGGGGUUUGGGGAGGGGGUGAAUAUAUCUUUUUACCUUUAACAGACUUGUUUAAUCUUCUCUGCGUAGACGUUUAUGUAGGUACAUCAGAUUGCAAAAGCCUUUGAUCCUAUUUAUAAGCUCAAAUGUCUCUGCUACCCUGACUCUCGAGCCUGCGUUUCCUUAACCAAAAAUUCACGUAGGCAUGCUAGCGAUUCACGGGUGGUCGCGGCUUUGGCAGAUUUUACAAAAAUGUGUUAUCUUUACUCCAUGCUACCGUGUCGGCCAACGAGGCUGCCCUGAGCAACAAUACAAAAAAAAAAAAAAAAAAAAAGAAAAAAAAUUAAAAAACGAAAGGGAAGGAAAGAAAUUGAUAAAAGAGGUAUUCCGGCCCCUGUGUCGUUAAGGGAAGAAGAAAGAAAAGACGACAGAGAACGUCACGUUACAUGUGACUUGUCGAGAAAACUUCCUGACGAGACUACCCUCAUUUUAUAUUUUCAGUGUUCUGAAAAGAUCGGUGUUGCGGUAAUCAUUGCAGGGGUCAUCCGAAACUGCUAACCUUGACCGGCAGAAUGUCCCGUCGUCUUGCUGCCCCACCUGACAGAGGGCUAUAGACCUUCCUCCCGCGGGCACGUCCGUGUCCGUGCUCCCCGUCUGCUCGGAUGGUCCCGGAGAGGCUACACUAAUUCAUUGGAGAUGUGAGCUUUUUUUUUUUUCUUUUUGGAGAAAAAUAUAUAUAAAUAUAUAGAUAUAUAUCACUAUAGAAUAAUGCAUUAAUAAAAUGAGGCUUUUUUAGAGGAAGACCAAAAAAUUCAAUGUCUUAAAAAUAUAUUUAAUGGCAAUGCAAAAGUCUUCCUGCUUCCGUGCUGAACUUUUAGAACAGAGGAUUGUAUUGCAAGACAAAGUUGAAUGUAAAGUGACCCCCCCGAACAUUUUUAAAGUUUUACUUUUCUAAAAUUACACAUCACAACAGUGUAUAGACCAUACGAUGUUAGUUUGAAGGUCGAUUUCAGUGUAUAAUACAGAUACUUUAUUAAAAUGUAUAAAAACGCCCCAAAGUUUGGAUUUCGUUUUGGGACUCGGGAUCGAUGGGUGGUAUUUGCUAUGUAACCCGCCCCCCUCCACCCCACCCCCUCCCCCGGGUACAGUGGGACUGACUCUGGACCCUGCUGGAUACAGUGUAUGAUGUGUAUUUAAGUAGUCCUCUAUACUUAGAGUAGUCACGCCUCUAUACAAAUGGUUCACGUUCAGACUGCCGCUUACAACAAGCAAAAUAAAAAGUUGAUAAUAUACUAAAUUUUCCUCCAUCCUGUACAUUUCAAAAAGAAAAAAAGGCAUAUGCAAUAUUUACACUUUUAAUUUAGUUUACAGAAUGGAACCAAAAUGUAUAAACGUUAUGUUUGCUAAAACUUCGCAAUGUAUAUUGGGUCUUUGUACAUUUUGCCUGACUUACCUUAAAUUUAAAAUAUUUUUUGCUAUAUAAACUUUAACAGUUAUUAAACAGUGUUUUCUUUUUGGGUACGUAUUGUUUCUGGAUAUCAAGAUGUUAAAUAUAUUUCUUGCUAUUGUGAUAUGACAAAAGACUUAACCUUGGUCUGUCUUCCAUUGUACACGCUGUAUAUAAGGGUCGAUGUGACGUUGCUGGAGACAGCAAUAAAUGGAAUUAGAAUAGUGCACUGUAUUUAGUCUGUCUUGAUCAUGGAUGCUCUCCUUAACAGCCAUAUGCAAUAAAAUAAAAUACGUUAUUUAUGAAACGG